UACGUAGGGUGCAAGCGUUGUCCGGAAUUAUUGGGCGUAAAGAGCUCGUAGGCGGUCUGUCGCGUCGGAUGUGAAAAUCCAGGGCUCAACCCUGGACCUGCAUUCGAUACGGGCAGACUAGAGUUCGGUAGGGGAGACUGGAAUUCCUGGUGUAGCGGUGAAAUGCGCAGAUAUCGGGAAGAACACCCGUGGCGAAGGCGGUUCUCUGGGACGGUACUGACGCUGAGACGCGAAAGCGUGGGGAGCGAACAGG
This 253-nucleotide ribosomal RNA is filed under the name uncultured bacterium. RNAcentral describes it as "partial 16S ribosomal RNA". It matches the Rfam family "Bacterial small subunit ribosomal RNA", at positions 524 to 776 of the family's 1533-position model. The record is from RNAcentral.